Molecule: ribosomal RNA, 253 nt
Filed under: uncultured bacterium
Lineage: Bacteria
Description: partial 16S ribosomal RNA
Rfam family: Bacterial small subunit ribosomal RNA
Source: RNAcentral
UACGGAGGGGGCUAGCGUUGUUCGGAAUUACUGGGCGUAAAGCGCGCGUAGGCGGACCUGCAAGUCGGGGGUGAAAGCCCGAGGCUCAACCUCGGAACUGCCUUCGAUACUGCGGGUCUCGAGUCCGGGAGAGGUGAGUGGAAUUCCAGGUGUAGCGGUGAAAUGCGUAGAUAUCUGGAGGAACACCGGUGGCGAAGGCGGCAUCCUGGACCGGUAUUGACGCUGAGGCGCGAAAGCCAGGGGAGCAAACGGG